UGUAAGCGUAUACCAAAGUUGUUGCAGUUAAAACGCUCGUAGUCGGAAUUUGGCAGUUCCGGAUGUGUGCACGUCGUGUGCGCACUUCGCGGGGAUUGCUUUUGUGGUCUUGCGUAGGAUGAGGCACUUUUAUUAGUGAACGUCCUCACGCAACCACUUUUUACUGUGAGAAGAUCAGAGUGCUCAAAGCAGGCAUUUGCCGUGAAUGUAUUAGCAUGGAAUAAUAGAAUAGGACUUGGUUCUAUUUUGUUGGUUUGUUGGGACUGAGUAAUGAUUAAGAGGGACAGUUGGGGGCAUUUGUAUUUCGGUGCUAGAGGUGAAAUUCUUAGAUUACCGAAAGACAAACUGCUGCGAAAGCGUCUGCCAAGGAUGUUUUCAUUGA
Molecule: ribosomal RNA, 382 nt
Filed under: uncultured eukaryote
Lineage: Eukaryota
Description: partial 18S ribosomal RNA
Rfam family: Eukaryotic small subunit ribosomal RNA
Source: RNAcentral